UACGUAGGGUGCAAGCGUUGUCCGGAAUUAUUGGGCGUAAAGAGCUCGUAGGCGGUCUGUCACGUCGGCUGUGAAAACUCGGGGCUCAACCCCGAGCCUGCAGUCGAUACGGGCAGACUAGAGUGCUGUAGGGGAGACUGGAAUUCCUGGUGUAGCGGUGAAAUGCGCAGAUAUCAGGAGGAACACCGAUGGCGAAGGCAGGUCUCUGGGCCAUAACUGACGCUGAGAAGCGAAAGCAUGGGGAGCGAACAGG
This 253-nucleotide ribosomal RNA is filed under the name uncultured bacterium. Its description in RNAcentral is "partial 16S ribosomal RNA". It matches the Rfam family "Bacterial small subunit ribosomal RNA", at positions 524 to 776 of the family's 1533-position model. The record is from RNAcentral.